AGCCCAGCGUGAAGGCCUUAUCACUCCGGUGUUAAGGCGGUGCCACGUUAUUGACUUGUCGUUGUGCUUUGUCAAAGCUUCAUGAAUGCUUUUGAAUAAGCUUCAUUUCAGCCAUAGAGGGUGCAAGCCCCUUGGUGUUGUGGAGACAAAGCAUGGACUUGUCAUGAUAGAGUCGGGUUGCUUGAGAGUGCAACCUAAAGUAGAUGGUAAGCUCCAUCUAAGGCUAAAUAUCGCUGUGAGACCGAUAGCAAACAAGUACCGUGAGGGAAAGUUGCAAAGAACUUUGAAGAGAGAGUUCAAUAGGACGUGAAACCGUUUGCAGGUAAACAGAUGGACCCACGAAGUCCAGUUGAGUAAGAAAUUCAAAUUUUUCGGUUUGUUCUCUGCUGAUCGCUCUUUCCUUUACGGAGAGAAGGUUGGUACGAGAGCUAUCGAGAGAUGCAUUUUUCUUGCUCACGAUGGAGCUCUGACUGCUGUUUAACUUAGGUUGUGUAAGGCAGCCUCGGUAUGUGAGAUGUAUCUUAGGAUACACUUCUACAUGCUGGGGUUCAUGACUAAGUUGAACCAAGUGGUUGAAUUUCUCACUUAGGUGAGUGUUCAGGUUGUCAGUAUUCUUGAGCGAGUAGAGUGUGCUGGUCUUUAGAUUUUCGGCUCUUGCAGUUGAAGUUUAGAGAAGUAGUGCA
Molecule: ribosomal RNA, 683 nt
Filed under: Arrenurus reflexus
Lineage: Eukaryota; Metazoa; Arthropoda; Arachnida; Trombidiformes; Arrenuridae
Description: eukaryotic LSU rRNA
Rfam family: Eukaryotic large subunit ribosomal RNA
Source: RNAcentral